UUAACUCAAAUUUGUAUGGAAUUGGAACGUUUGCCUACGUUUGGCGCUAGGGGCGCUGUUCCAAUUCCGAACACAUUUGAGUUA
Non-coding RNA from Bombyx mori (domestic silkworm), 84 nucleotides. The record is from Rfam. Lineage: Eukaryota; Metazoa; Arthropoda; Insecta; Lepidoptera; Bombycidae.